GCGGGUAAUAGUUUUAGUGGGUAAAA
RNAcentral lists this transfer RNA (26 nucleotides) under Araucaria araucana (monkey-puzzle tree). RNAcentral describes it as "partial tRNA-Gly". Lineage: Eukaryota; Viridiplantae; Streptophyta; Pinopsida; Araucariales; Araucariaceae. The record is from RNAcentral.